RNAcentral lists this ribosomal RNA (292 nucleotides) under uncultured bacterium. RNAcentral's name for it is "partial 16S ribosomal RNA". The record is from RNAcentral.
GGACUACUGGGGUAUCUAAUCCUGUUUGCUCCCCACGCUUUCGCGCCUCAGCGUCAGUAUUUGUCCAGGUAGCCGCCUUCGCCACUGGUGUUCCUUCCGAUCUCUACGCAUUUCACCGCUACACCGGAAAUUCCACUACCCUCUACAAUACUCUAGCUCGCCAGUAUGACAUGCAGUUCCUAGGUUAAGCCCAGGGAUUUCACAUAUCACUUAACAAACCGCCUACGCGCCCUUUACGCCCAGUAACUCCGAUUAACGCUCGCACCCUCUGUAUUACCGCGGCUGCUGGCAC